AGAGUUUGAUCAUGGCUCAGGACGAACGCUGGCGGCGCGCUUAACACAUGCAAGUCGAGCGAGAACCUGGCCUUCGGGCCUGGGGAAAGCGGCGAACGGGUGAGUAACACGUGGGUAACCCACCCUUGGUACCGGGAUAGCCCGAGGAAACUCGGAUUAAUACCGGAUGGCCCAACAGCUCUUCGGGGCGGUUGGAAAAGGUAGCUUCGGCCUCCGACCAAGGACGGGCCCGCGGCGGAUUAGCUUGUUGGUGAGGUAACGGCUCACCAAGGCGACGAUCCGUAGCUGGUCUGAGAGGACGAUCAGCCACACUGGGACUGAGACACGGCCCAGACUCCUACGGGAGGCAGCAGUGGGGAAUCUUGCGCAAUGGGCGAAAGCCUGACGCAGCGACGCCGCGUGGGGGAAGAAGGCUUUCGGGUUGUAAACCCCUUUCAGGAAGGACGAAGCCACUCGGGUGAAUAGCCCAGAGGGUGACGGUACUUCCAGAAGAAGCCCCGGCUAACUACGUGCCAGCCGCCGCGGUAAUAC
RNAcentral lists this ribosomal RNA (531 nucleotides) under uncultured bacterium. RNAcentral's name for it is "bacterial SSU rRNA". It matches the Rfam family "Bacterial small subunit ribosomal RNA", at positions 8 to 526 of the family's 1533-position model. The record is from RNAcentral.